Molecule: long non-coding RNA, 6020 nt
Filed under: Sus scrofa (pig)
Lineage: Eukaryota; Metazoa; Chordata; Mammalia; Artiodactyla; Suidae
Description: lncRNA (ENSSSCG00000053076.1)
Source: RNAcentral
GCAGUGGUUAACGUGAAUCCGACUAGGAACCAUGAGGUUGGACGUUCGGUCCCUGGCCUUGCCCAGUGGGUUAAGGACCCGGUGUUGCCGUGAGCUGUAGUGUAGGUUGCAGACGCGGCUCGGAUCCUGCGUUGCUACGGUUCUGGCGUAGGCUGGCAGCUACAGCUCUGAUUCAACCCCUAGCCUGGGAACCUCCAUAUGCCGCGGGAGCAGCCCAAGAAAUGUCAAAAAGACAAAAAAAAAAAAAAAAAAAAUGGUGGAACAGUUGAAGGAAAGGCUAGGUGGGCUAUUUUGGAGGGCAGAGUGUUUUUAAUAACAGUGCACAGAUGCUAUGUCGUCGAAAGGGGAAUUGACGUGUUUAGUGUCACAAACAUGUUUUAAGGUUUAGCUUUUUAAUUCUUUCAUAUCUCAUGCUUAUACAUAAAUCUUUUUUCAGGAUUAUGAUAAAAGAAUGUUAUCUUUGUGUCUAUUGUUUCAACUUGGGUGUUGAAAUCUAUAUUAAUAGACAUCUAGGUUUUAACAGGCCCUACAAGGCAAUGCUGAUGCAGUCUAAGUUAUGUGCCCUGCUUAUUUAGGGUCGAGGGUGAAUCUUUGGAGCAAAGAGCUCCCAGAGCACAGUGGCUCAAAGAUAACAGGUGUUAGUUUUCCUUCAAAGGGGAGUCUACGUGCAGGAGGCCGUCCCUGCCCGUGCAGGAUGUCAUCGCCAUCGUGAUUGUGCUGCAGGGAUCCGUGGCUGUCACCGCAGAUGUGCUGAAGGCUGGCGCACCCACACGUGUGCAUGGUGCAGCCUGAGCAAGUGGCAGAGACUAACGAACCAUUAGUCAAGGUGAUAAUGUAAAAAAUAAUACAAAUAUAUUUAUAUUACAUUUAUAAUAUAAAAAGAUACCUAUAUCUGUAAAGAUAUAUACAUAUACACAUAUCUAUGUAAAAAAGAUAAUAUAAAAAGAGCAUAUAUGUAUAUAUGUAUGUAUGACUGGGUCACUAUGCUGUACAGCAGAAAUGGACACAGCACUGUAAAUCAACCAUAAUUUACUAAUAAGGUGAUGCUUACUGCUCCAAAGACAGACCCCUAGAUCUCGGUGCAUUUGCCCCUUGAAGUCUGCUUCUCACGCACAUGGAGCCCUGGACAGGCGGUCCCGUCCCGUGGGUAGAUCUCUCCCAAGAGCAGGCUGAGGACCAGAGCCUUUCCUGGUGAUCGCUUUACUUAGGUUCCACAUGUGAGUUCCAGGCUGGCUUUGCCUUCCUCCCGCCUCCGGAGAGGAAAGGAUCAUGAAGCAGCAACGUGGGAGCAGCUCACGGAGCAGAGGCAGUGGGGCUGCUCAUUUGCAUCCCCUCCUAGUCUCUAGGAUGCAGCAGCACCGCCACGGCGGACUGAAAGCAGGGCUGGAAGAUAUGACUUGCUGUGCGCAGCAAGAACGGAAGUGUGUUCACUCGGCAGCUGCAAGGGUUGUGCCAGCCGGAGCAUGGUUUUAUUUUUUAAGUUGUAAUUGGACGUUACAUCUUUCAUUCCCUCGUUUCUUAUUGACUUAAUCACAUGGCAACGUGAGCUGCAGGAGCUGGGAAAAGAAAGUCCUCUCUGAGGCUUACAUUCAGAUCAAAUUUGCGGAAGGAGGAAGAAAGCAAUUUAUAACUGAUGAAAACUUAGCAGUUUCUGCCACACCUUUUCACCCGUAAAAUCGCAAAUACAUUUGUUUAGUGAAAGUUGAAUAUGAAUCGUGGGAAUAGCAUUGACCCCCAGCUAAUUUUCAUUUCGCAAAGGUUUCUGAAGAAAUAAAGUGACAACAGAAACAGUUCCAUUUUUCCUUUUCAUCUAGCGUUAGAUGUUCUGUCUCUCAGUCUUAACAAUAGAUAGAAGGGCUUUGGGGAGUCUUACUUUUUCGUCAACAAGCUUUUAUUUAUUUAGGAGAAAUGCUUCGGGUUUAGUACUCUGGAAUUUUAAAGAAAGCCUUUACUAAAACAUAGGUUUAGUGAAGUGCUUUGCUUUUACUGGGAAUGUGGCAGAUGCCAGUCUAAAUAAAUUUCUAUAUAACUGAUUAGCAGCUGUCUCUCAGGAAAGUGUAAGCAGCAGCGUGACACUUAAGAAUCCAUCCUUCAUUUGGUGAACAGGAGCCUUGCAAAGGAAAUUAUGUUUCCAGGAAAAAAACAAACAAACUAAUAUUUAACUAUAAGAAUUAAACUAUUGUUUGUCAGGAACACUGCAGAAUAUUUUCUCAGAUAGUAGCUACUUCAGUGAUUUUAUUGGUAGUAGGGCUGUGUCUGUAAGGCAGGGCGGGAUGAAGAACUAAAACCAGAAGGGGCUAAGACGUAAAACUGAGGGAGAAGGGAGAUGAAAACACGGAGGAUGUGACGUCGUCCAGGAAAACGCCCUUGAGUGAAGGCGGACCCUUGGCAAACGUCGCAGAGCUGAGAAGAGGGUUGUGGCAAACUCACAGGACGUGCGAAUGAGCCCUCAACCACCCCCCGUGGUUUGUUUUUACGGUUGGCACGUUUCCGCUUGCUUUCCCGUUUUCUGCAGAGGGUAGGACAUCUUCUAACGUGCCCAGCGUUCUGAUGCCACCCCGCCCCCUCUGCACUUCCGUCCCAAUCGUGUUCUCGGUUUACGUUUGUUGUGCUUCUAGGAUGAGACACAGAGGAGCGUGCUCUUUCACGUGCGACUGGAACCAUCCACGCCCUCGUGCUUAGUACCGUGGGUGAAGCAGCUCCUCCAGCAGAUGCCCGUUCCUCCCUGUGUUCGCUCAUCUCAGACCCUCCUGUUCUUGAAACCGUCAGCACCCCUUUCUCACCUAUCAUCAGUGGGGUUCUCUCUAAAAGGCAACCUCAUUAGCAUACAGUGACUCUAACAUCUGUUGAAAAAUACAACUCUUUUCAUUUCACAAAGGCCUUCAGCGUCUGCACUGCUGCCAGAGACGUAUCCUCGCAUGUUUUCGGCACUGGCUCCCGUGGCGGUUGACUCUUCACCUCCUCCCUCCACGGCUUUGUCUUUCUCCAUCCAAUGAAACCAUCCCUUCCACUGUUACAAAGGAACUCUGUGUUGGCAAAUCCAAAGAUACAUACUUUCUUCUCGCCUCACUUUACUCAAUAUUUCGUAGACAUUCAGUCCAAUGGUUGAUUCUCCCUUUCUCCAAUGAGCUAGUAUUGUUUAGAUUCCUUGAUAAGAGGCACUCUUGGGUUUCCUCAUUCAUUGGUUUCUUCUUUUCUAGAUCCCUUUUUUUUCCCCCUUUUCUACAUAGUUCCUAAACAUGGCACUUUGAAUAACCUCCCUCUUCCUCACUGGUUUUCAAAUGAAUGAAGAGAUAAAAGAGUUAAUCAGUUGGGAGCAGAAUAGAGUAUUUGUGAAUGAUAAAAUGGACAUUGAAGACUGUGGCUUAUGUAUGUGGGCUAGUGGUCUUUCCAGUCACUGGCCUCGGAUGUUAACAGAGUUGUUUGGUCAAUAUCAGUUUAGAUCCCUCCUACCUGCGUGUUCUUCAUCAAAGCUGACAAAAUAAAAGAGAGGAGAGGAAAGAACAGAACUAAGCUUAGGCAGGAUCAUUAUCCUAAACUGGAUGCAUGCCAUUAUGAGACGACUAGGGAACAACAAAGACAGGCCAGCAGCGCUGCUUCCUCUCUGUGGCAGGAAACGUUGUAAAUGAGUGUGAUGGGUAGAGGCAAGCCCCAUAACAGCUGGAACUGUGAAGGUCAUAGAAAGAGAUAUAAGCCACAAAUACUCUGUGACAAGGCUGUGACAAGUCCAUAAAUAAAGGAGAGAAAGCAUCUGAUCAGAAAGACCGUCUUAGGGUACCCAGUAGAAAAUAGCAUCCUUAUCCAUUUAGCCAUUGCUUGCUUCCUCUUACACCCCUUGGAGGCUGACGCAAAUAAUUGCUCUUUUAUGAUUUGCCUAAAGUACAAGCGAAAGACCUUGAGUACAGGAUCUUCAUUUUGUUCAGGCUGUCUCCCCAGCAUCUCUAAGAGUAACCAGAAUGUAGUAUGCAUCGUUGAAUGAGUGAAUAAAUGAAUUCAAAGACCACACUAUAUAGAGAAGUGUCACAUCUCUUCCAUUGUUGGAAGAGAUUACUGGUCUCUGGGUUGAUCAGGGAAGGCUUCAAUGAGACACAAUUUAAGCUAGACUACAAAUAAUACAACUGUGCUAAUAAGCAAGAUGGUGAGAAGAGCAUGACCAAAAGUAAAGUUUAAAAAAAAACAAAACACAAGACAGAUUUGGGUGUAUGACAGUUAUUAGCAUUGACAAUACAUGAACAGCUUCUAUUUAUCGCAGUAGUAUAAAAAAACAACAUGAAAUAUCUGCAAGAUAUAAAAGCACACAUUUAAUUUUUUAAUUUAUUUUUCUCUUGGAAUGAUUACAAGUUACUGACUUUAAUUCAGUAUUUAACUUUAUAAAUUUAUAUAUUCUAGAGAAGACGAUAUGGUGUGUGUGUGUGUGUGAACACAAGUAUUUGUACAUGAUUGUGUAUGUAUAACAAUCCCUACAAACACUAUUUGGACAGUUUAUGCUUAUUGAAAACAUAUGAAUUAUAUUCUUUGAAAUGGUUUUUGUUAUCUAACUUAUUUCCAAAAGUUACAAAUGACUUAUUGCCCCAUAUCGACAUAUUGGCAAAGCCAUUGUUUUUCCCAAUUACUCUAGUUUAUAUAUUCUAGUUUUCUUACUUCAAAUUCUUUCAGUAUAGUAAGCUGAAAAUCUCUUUUCUGGGUUCAGAAGCUUCCUAUAAGUAGAAUAAUCACAUGCUGUUUUAUUUCUUGCGGGUUCUGUUAAUUGCAGUAUGAAGUAAUGUGGCCUGAAAAAUAUAAAAAUUGUCGGUGCCUAUAAGGUUUUCAUUGAUUCACUGAAAAAUGAAUGUGAGAUUGGAAAUAUUCUAGUAUUCUUUUUCUGCAAGAGAAAAAUUUCAAGUCGAUAGAACAAUCAAGAAUUGCAUAGAUACGAUGCCUGCAGUUUCUCACUAGGAGGUUCAGUAAUCUUCUGAUUCUUUCCCUAUAAUAUCGCACAAAAUUGCUUGUAUUAGGCAACUAACAGGUAGCACAAGAGCACGAUUAUGAAUGAGAUGGUUUUCUCUGAUCGACAGGCUACAUCUGAUUUUUAAUGUUGCAUUUUAUCCUCAUUGAUUGGAACAUGCGAAUAGUCCCUCUUCAGUGGAAUGGCUCAGCUUGUAGAUGAAAUCAUAAUUGUUUUGUGUUAGCCCACACAUUUUCAAGCUUUUAACAGUAAUCUUAGGCCUGAAAUGGAAAUGUAUGUUUUUUUAAUAUAAAACUUAUCUGAAACACCCAGAAAGGUCAAUUUCAUUGUUCUCCUAUAUGAAAAACAUUUUAGUCAACUACAGAAUUGAGGGCACUUACCACCAUCACACUUCAGCUGAGAAAAUAUGUAUUUUUUAAUCCACACCAUGUGUGGCCCCCCGGAGAUUUUCUCUGCCCUAGACAAACAGCAGGUCCCAUAGGAGGGCCACUAGACCAAGCAUAUUUUCACCUUGCCCACUGUGAAAACUUGGGAAAGAGGAGUAUUUUAUAACUCUGAUCUUUAAAAAAUUGCAUCUAACUCUCUUUCCACUAAUCCUUAGGCAUGCAUGAUGGUUUAGAACAUAUUGUUUCUGAAGAUGAUAAAGGACACAUACUUUUCCUACCACACAUGGAUUUACUAAGCCCUCUUUUUUAUGAGGUGAAGAUAAAAAAAUCUUGUGAAUAUUAAAUAUGAUUUUCCUAUAGUAACCCAAGAAAGAAUAGCUACAAAAAUCAAUGCACAUUGAGAAGUGAAAAUGCUAUCUCUGAAAAGACACCUAUGUACAUAUAUUUUACAUAAUAUCAAGCUGUCAUCUUGUACUUUGGGUUUUAGAAAUUACAAUAAUACAAUUGCAUAGUUAUUAUUUUAAUAUCAUCACUAAUUGAUUUUGCUCCACAAAUACUUUUGUUGUUUGUGUUUUCCAAAAUAAGUAAUAGCACAAUGAAAAAUUGGAGAUUUAAUUUUUAUUUGUGAAUCUUUAUAAUCAUUUCUAUCUCCUUGGCAUACACAACAUGAUCGAGAAUAAAAGAGCAAA